This 251-nucleotide unclassified non-coding RNA is filed under the name uncultured Eurotiales. Its description in RNAcentral is "sequence contains 5.8S rRNA gene, ITS2, 28S rRNA gene". The stretch from base 1 to 52 matches the Rfam family "5.8S ribosomal RNA", at positions 103 to 154 of the family's 154-position model. The record is from RNAcentral. Lineage: Eukaryota; Fungi; Ascomycota; Eurotiomycetes; Eurotiales.
AACGCACAUUGCGCCCCCUGGUAUUCCGGGGGGCAUGCCUGUCCGAGCGUCAUUGCUGCCCUCAAGCACGGCUUGUGUGUUGGGCCCCCGUCCCCCGGGACGGGCCCGAAAGGCAGCGGCGGCACCGCGUCCGGUCCUCGAGCGUAUGGGGCUUCGUCACCCGCUCUGUAGGCCCGGCCGGCGCCGGCCGACACCAUCAAUCUUUUUUCCAGGUUGACCUCGGAUCAGGUAGGGAUACCCGCUGAACUUAA